AAAUUCCGUAAAACUUCGAAUAAUCGAAUUGUCUGUUGGUAUUUGCUUUUGAAGAUACUUAUAUUACCAAACGGAGAACUUAUUAGGGCCAUUAAUUUCUAGUUAUAUGGGAGAAAAUAAGUCGCGACUUACAUAAGACGCAAAAACCCUUGUAUAAAUGGUCUAAUUCUAGUAAGUCGUGACUAAUUGUGGACCAGUCUCAACCCUAAUUGUUCUUAUGUAAGUCGCAAUUAACUAAAAUUUGAAGUGAAUUUGACCAUUUAUACGAGUGUGUUCGCG
Paramuricea clavata is the source of this 279-nucleotide non-coding RNA. NCBI's taxonomy places the organism in Eukaryota, Metazoa, Cnidaria, Anthozoa, Malacalcyonacea, Plexauridae. The record is from the annotation of a GenBank genome assembly.